AACUUUCUAGAGAUAGAUUGGUGCCUUCGGGAACGCAGUGACAGGUGCUGCAUGGCCGUCGUCAGCUCGUGUCGUGAGAUGUUGGGUUAAGUCCCGUAACGAGCGCAACCCUUGUCUUUAGUUGCCAGCACGUAAAGGUGGGAACUCUAGAGAGACUGCCGGUGACAAACCGGAGGAAGGUGGGGAUGACGUCAAAUCAUCAUGCCCCUUAUGUUCUGGGCUACACACGUGCUACAAUGGCUGGUACAACGGGAGGCGAAGGAGUAAUCUGGAGCGAACCCCAAAAAGCCAGUCCCAGUUCGGAUUGUGGGCUGCAACUCGCCCACAUGAAGUUGGAGUUGCUAGUAAUCGCGAAUCAGAAUGUCGCGGUCAAUGCGUUCCCGGGUCUUGUACACACCGA
Molecule: ribosomal RNA, 400 nt
Filed under: uncultured Clostridium sp.
Lineage: Bacteria; Bacillati; Bacillota; Clostridia; Eubacteriales; Clostridiaceae
Description: bacterial SSU rRNA
Rfam family: Bacterial small subunit ribosomal RNA
Source: RNAcentral